UUCAUGCCGCGUGUGUGAAGAAGGCCUUCGGGUUGUAAAGCACUUUUGUCAGGAACGAAACGGUGGGGGCUGAUAUCCUCUGCUAAUGACGGUACCUGAAGAAUAAGCACCGGCUAACUACGUGCCAGCAGCCGCGGUAAUACGUAGGGUGCGAGCGUUAAUCGGAAUUACUGGGCGUAAAGCGUGCGCAGGCGGUUGUGCAAGACAGAUGUGAAAUCCCCGGGCUUAACCUGGGAAUUGCAUCUGUGACUGCACGGCUAGAGUGUGUCAGAGGGGGGUAGAAUUCCACGUGUAGCAGUGAAAUGCGUAGAUAUGUGGAGGAAUACCGAUGGCGAAGGCAGCCCCCUGGGAUAACACUGACGCUCAUGCACGAAAGCGUGGGGAGCAAACAGGAUUAGAUACCCUGGUAGUCCACGCCCUAAACGAUGUCUACUAGUUGUCGGGUCUUAAUUGACUUGGUAACGCAGCUAACGCGUGAAGUAGACCGCCUGGGGAGUACGGUCGCAAGAUUAAAACUCAAAGGAAUUGACGGGGACCCGCACAAGCGGUGGAUGAUGUGGAUUAAUUCGAUGCAACGCGAAAAACCUUACCUACCCUUGACAUGUACGGAACCCUGCUGAGAGGUGGGGGUGCUCGACAG
RNAcentral lists this ribosomal RNA (640 nucleotides) under uncultured bacterium. RNAcentral's name for it is "bacterial SSU rRNA". It matches the Rfam family "Bacterial small subunit ribosomal RNA", at positions 391 to 1024 of the family's 1533-position model. The record is from RNAcentral.